CCUACGGGUGGCAGCAGUGAGGAAUAUUGGUCAAUGGACGAGAGUCUGAACCAGCCAAGUAGCGUGAAGGAUGACUGCCCUAUGGGUUGUAAACUUCUUUUAUAUGGGAAUAAAAUGUUCCACGUGUGGGAUUUUGUAUGUACCAUAUGAAUAAGGAUCGGCUAACUCCGUGCCAGCAGCCGCGGUAAUACGGAGGAUCCGAGCGUUAUCCGGAUUUAUUGGGUUUAAAGGGAGCGUAGGUGGAUUGUUAAGUCAGUUGUGAAAGUUUGCGGCUCAACCGUAAAAUUGCAGUUGAAACUGGCAGUCUUGAGUACAGUAGAGGUGGGCGGAAUGCGUGGUGUAGCGGUGAAAUGCUUAGAUAUCACGAAGAACUCCGAUUGCGAAGGCAGUUCACUGGACUGCAACUGACACUGAGGCUCGAAAGCGUGGGUAUCAAACAGGAUUAGAUACCCCUGUAGUC
This 460-nucleotide ribosomal RNA is filed under the name uncultured bacterium. Its description in RNAcentral is "partial 16S ribosomal RNA". It matches the Rfam family "Bacterial small subunit ribosomal RNA", at positions 338 to 795 of the family's 1533-position model. The record is from RNAcentral.